UAAAUAAGCAGACCUUUAGUAGCCUUCUUAAGGACACAUCUUCCAUGUUUCCAUCUUUGAAGGGAAAUGAAGGACAAAUGAGGCUCAGGGAUGACACUUCCUUUGAAUGGGAUGAAUCACAGCAUGAGGGAUCUUCGGCUUGGGAGACAUCCUUACUCCCCUAUUGGAGAACCGGGCAUAAACAGGAAGAUCACAGUGGCACACCUCCAGCAAAUGUCCUCCAGAGGCAUUGUGCCCUGAUGGGAGGCGGCUGCAUGCAGAUGGUAGGGAGGUAUCUUAAGACAAUGCGGCACAGGGAUCCAUCCCCUGAGAACUGGAUGUGCAAGCAUGAAGUAGUGGAGUCCCUGCCUAUUACCUUGCUACGACAGGCAGGGAGACACACCUGAUGAAGAUACCUAUGGCAAUGAAAUGAAGUCGUAUUCUCAGACCUCAGUAAUGGCUGGUGACUUCCACAGCAGUUGCUGAUGCCAGAUCCCACCAGACACUCCUCAGCUUCCUUAAAAUCUCAUUCUCGCCGCCGUUUACAUGCCAUUUCCUCUUCAGUAUGAAUGCAGACCCACAGCAUCAUUCCAGACUGUGGGACCUAUCCUCGACGUUAAAAAUUGCUUAGUAAAACUGGGCAGCAGCAGCAGAAACCAAA
Molecule: non-coding RNA, 640 nt
Organism: Lonchura striata (white-rumped munia)
Lineage: Eukaryota; Metazoa; Chordata; Aves; Passeriformes; Estrildidae
Source: RefSeq, a predicted model, not a curated record